Molecule: RNA transcript, 2339 nt
Organism: Larimichthys crocea (large yellow croaker)
Lineage: Eukaryota; Metazoa; Chordata; Actinopteri; Sciaenidae
Gene: pdgfab
Gene name: platelet-derived growth factor alpha polypeptide b
Exons: 7
Source: RefSeq, a predicted model, not a curated record
UAUCCAGCGGCUCAGAGGCGCUCUGACUCCAUUCACUCCAGAGUCCUACACAGCCAAGGACCUGUGCAGACUGCUGCAAGACAGGCUGUGGAUAGCACGACACGGACAACUUUCUCCUUUGUGAUUUUCUGUGAGGAUCUUCUUCGUUUGGAUUAUUUUCUUGUAGGACUAUUAAAUACUAUCAUAGAAAAACAGUCUAAUUCUAACAUAUAUUAAGACAUAUCAGAAGACUUGGUUGAAGUUUGAAGCCUAUUUGUUAGAGGGUGAAGGACAAGUGCAAUGCGCGUCGGACUUGUCUCUUGGGAUUGUCCCACUUGCGCCUGAGGAGCUAUGUCGAACUGCCACACAGAGCUUGUUUAAGAGGACGCAGUCCAAUGUGAAUAACUAGAAUCAACUUCCAGCCUCUUCAGCUUUUUUCAGCAGUUACAAGCAAGUGCAGCACGGAGUCUGACAGAGCCCGCUGAGCAGCUCUGACACCACGGUUUCUCUCCCCGAGGGGAUGGUUGUGGAUCCUGUGGGGCCAGGAGCGAUUCUGCGGCUCCUACAGAAUAACACAUUUUUCUUGUACGGGGUUAAAUCUAAAUUAAAGGGAGAUGAGAGCCGCACUUUGUUACUUCCUGCUGUGGACGACGUACCUGCUGCUGGCCACCUCUGAGGAAGUGGAGUUUCCCCAGGAGCUGAUAGACAGACUGUCCCACAGUGAAAUCCACAGCAUCAGCGACCUCCAGCGGCUACUGGACAUUGACUCCGUAGGUACGGGAAACGAUGUUAUCGAGGAGCCCAAGCACCACAAGCACCAUAAUCACCAUAAGAACUACUCCCGUCAUCCUGGUUACUACAAUGACCUGAAGAGCUCCCAGCUCCACAGCCGACGCAAGAGGAGCAUCGUAGAGGAGGCGGUCCCGGCGGUGUGUAAGACGCGGACGGUGAUCUACGAGAUCCCCAGGAGCCAGGUGGAUCCCACGUCUGCCAACUUCCUGAUAUGGCCGCCCUGUGUGGAGGUGAAGCGCUGCACAGGCUGUUGCAACACAAGCAACAUGCGCUGUCACCCUUCCCGCAAGCACCAUCGCACCGUUAAGGUGGCAAAGGUGGAGUACGUGAGGAGGAAACCCAAGCUGAAAGAGGUCUUUGUGCGGUUAGAAGACCACCUGGAGUGUGUGUGCACAUCACAACAUCAUGUGGUGGAGCACUCAGAUGCAGAAACAGGCCACCGUAGGGCUAAAGGUAAAAAAAGGAAACCUAAAAAGCUAAGGCCCAGCAAGGAUUUAUUGGCAACAUAAUAAAGUUGCACUCAUUAUCCAAAAUCCACUGGAGAGCUGUGAAGGGAACAGUGGACGUGAGGUGAGACCAAUCAGAACAAGGGACUUCAGCGUGGGAGGGGCCUAAAUAGAGGAUGCCACCAACAGGAGACCUGCUUUGUCCUCUUCCCCACUGCCAUGCAACCUUGCUAAAAAAAAACUUUUCUUUAAAGAUGAGAGACUGACAAAAUAGACAACAGACACAAAUAAAUAAGAUGCCAAAGGUUUUCCCUAAAAACAGUAACCAGUGAUGAUGACUUCCUCUGUGGUACGCCACCUACCCAGACAACUGAACUCCGCCGCUGAUUAAGAAGAGAAGAGAAGGAUGCCGUAGAGCUGCAGGAAGAGUUCGAAGGGAGAUUAUGAAAGGGAUUUGUGCUUGACAGUCUGAUCAAGACGCACAACAGAAAUGGCUGUGAAACAGGCGGAUCAAGCUUUCAUGGGAAUCUGGUGCUCAGGCUCCAAAACAGCGGUGGAUGACCUUAAAUGACUCUAACAUACACAGGAAGGAAGAAAGAGAGAUAUAGGAAAAACAAUGGAAAGAGAGAAAGAGAGAGACAAAUGGAGGUUGUUUUUUUUAAAAGACUCUAUGGAGUUUCCAACAUUUUGAGUUGUUGGAUGUUUUCUCUGAGUAAAGAGGAAAUCUUCUGUGAGAACCCCUGGUGGUCUGUGACUUUGCCCACUUGCUAUGUACAGUUAAAUUUGAGAAGGAAGAUGCGCCGCUACUUACAAACUAUUUAUAUGUGUGGACGUUUGCUUUCUGUCUCUUCCAGUACAAAAGAAAGAAAGAACAAAAAAGAUGUUUUAAUGAUUUUGGAGUUCUGUGUGGUCAGGUUCUUUGUAACCAUCACAAUCUCAAUGUCAUUUUUUUAGUUGAUGUUAUUCUUGUCAUCCAUGUUUCUUAUUAUAUUACAGUAUAUCUGAAUGAUGUCAUGUCUUGUAUAUGGUUUGGAUAUAUGUGUGCAAGGAGGAGAUGUGAGAGUCAGUACAGGAAGAUGCUUUAUUUUUGUUAUGAAAUAUAUUAAGCUUACUUAUAUCCAA